CGCACAGCACAUUACAUACCCCUCCAUUAUAUGUUAUCAAUCAUUGCUAUCCUUUUUUUCCCCCCAGAGUCCACGGCAUCCAUCACCAUGAUAUCCCACACAGAAUUCAGCCCUUAGAGUUUGAUCCUGCCCCAGGAUAACACGCCGGGCAGCGGCCUAACACACUGCAACACAACCGCAUAUGAUUAGAUGCUUGCAUUGAGAAAACAAGCGGCAGACGGGUGAGUAACGCGUGGGGUAACCUGCCCUAUCACACACGGAUAACAUACUGAAAAAGUUUACUAAUACAUGAUAACAUAUAUUUACGGCAUCGUAGAUAUAUCAAAAGUGUUAGCGGUAUAGGAUGGACCCGCGUCUGAUUAGCUAGUUGGUGAGAUAACUGCCCACCAAGGCGACGAUCAGUAGCCGACCUGAGAGGGUGAUCGGCCACAUUGGAACUGAGACACGGUCCAAACUCCUACGGGAGGCAGCAGUGGGGAAUAUUGCACAAUGGGCGCAAGCCUGAUGCAGCAACGCCGCGUGAACGAUGAAGGUCUUCGGAUCGUAAAGUUCUGUUGCAGGGGAAGAUAAUGACGGUACCCUGUGAGGAAGCCCCGGCUAACUACGUGCCAGCAGCCGCGGUAAUACGUAGGGGGCUAGCGUUAUCCGGAUUUACUGGGCGUAAAGGGUGCGUAGGUGGUCUUUCAAGUCGGUGGUUAAAGGCUACGGCUCAACCGUAGUUAGCCUCCGAAACUGGAAGACUUGAGUGCAGGAGAGGAAAGUGGAAUUCCCAGUGUAGCGGUGGAAUGCGUAGAUAUUGGGAGGAACACCAGUAGCGAAGGCGGCUUUCUGGACUGCAACUGACACUGAGGCACGAAAGCGUGGGUAGCAAACAGG
This 876-nucleotide ribosomal RNA is filed under the name uncultured bacterium. RNAcentral's name for it is "bacterial SSU rRNA". The stretch from base 109 to 876 matches the Rfam family "Bacterial small subunit ribosomal RNA", at positions 1 to 776 of the family's 1533-position model. The record is from RNAcentral.